This 575-nucleotide long non-coding RNA is filed under the name Ananas comosus (pineapple). RNAcentral describes it as "long non-coding RNA (ACOM_LNC044078)". Lineage: Eukaryota; Viridiplantae; Streptophyta; Magnoliopsida; Poales; Bromeliaceae. The record is from RNAcentral.
CUCUUCAGCUCUCUGAGACUUCGUUUGGUUCAGAAAUUAGUAGGAACUAGUUAUUCCACGGAUAGAUACAAAUAUGAGUUUUUGUAAGAAUAAGAUUAUUUUUUUUGUUUGGAUGAAAAUAUGAGUAUAAGCUGGAACUAGAAAAAUUGUGUUUGGAUAGUUAUUGAAAAUAAGACAAAUAGUUGAUGGUUAUAAAUAAAAAAUAAUGAUAUUAUUCAUAUAAUUGAAUUUAAUUUUUAAAAUUUUAAACAUAUAAUUUCAAUUUUAAAAUUUUAACUUUUAAAUUUUAAAAUUUGAAAUUAAAAUUUAAAAUUUAAAUAUUUAAAUAUAUAAAUUUUAAAUUUAAGACCAAAUUUAAAUUUGAAAUAUAUAAAAUAUCAAAUUUAAAAUUUAAAAAUUUAUAAUAUCAAAUUUAAAUUUUAAACUUUAAAAUUUAGAAUUUAAAAUUUUAAUUUUAAAAUUACAAAUUUUAAAUUCUAAAAAUUUAAAUUCUAUUUUAAAACAAAACUCUCUCUCUCUCUCUGUUCCCAUUUCCAUCCGGGGUGAGAAUUAUAGUUCUCAUCUUAACUAAAUCU